GGUCAAGUGACUAAGUGCAUGUGGUGGAUGCCUUGGCGAUUACAGGCGAAGAAGGACGUGAUAGCCUGCGAUAAGCUUCGGGGAGCUGGCAAAUUAGCUUUGAUCCGGAGAUUUCCGAAUGGGGAAACCCACCUCGCAAGAGGUAACGCAUGCUGAAUACAUAGGCAUGCGUGGCGAACCGGGUGAACUGAAACAUCUCAGUAGCUCGAGGAAAAGACAUCAACCGAGAUUCCGAAAGUAGUGGCGAGCGAAAUCGGAGUAGCCCUCGCGUUUUAGCAGUUUGCAUAUCAGAACGGAAUGGAAAGUCCGGCCAUAGCGGGUGAUAGCCCCGUAUGAGAAAUGUAGAUUGUGGAACUAGGCGCGAAUAGAGUAGGGCGGGACACGUGAAAUCCUGUCUGAAUAUGGGGGGACCAUCCUCCAAGGCUAAAUACUCGUAAUCGACCGAUAGUGAACAAGUACCGUGAGGGAAAGGCGAAAAGAACCCCGGGAGGGGAGUGA
Molecule: non-coding RNA, 498 nt
Filed under: Reticulomyxa filosa
Lineage: Eukaryota; Foraminifera; Reticulomyxidae
Description: Bacterial large subunit ribosomal RNA
Rfam family: Bacterial large subunit ribosomal RNA
Source: Rfam by way of RNAcentral